Long non-coding RNA from Hypanus sabinus (Atlantic stingray), 837 nucleotides. RefSeq lists it as uncharacterized. NCBI's taxonomy places the organism in Eukaryota, Metazoa, Chordata, Chondrichthyes, Myliobatiformes, Dasyatidae. The record is from RefSeq and is a predicted model, not a curated record. The transcript has 4 exons.
UCCGUCGCGGGUAGUUUAUUAUCCCUCUCAACUCCGUUCCCCUGCCUUCUGCCCGUAAAAUUUGAUGCCCUAACUAAUCAAGAUCCUGCCGUCCUCUGCCUUAAAUGUCCCCAAUGGCUUGUCCUCGGCAGCUGCUGUGGCGAUGAACUCCACAGAUCCACCACCCUCUGGCUAAAGAAAUUCCUCCUCACUUCUGUUCUAAAGGAACGCCCUUCUGUUGUGAAACCGUGCCCUCUGGGUAAAGAAUUACACAACUGUAAGCACUGGCUGUCUUUAAGGUCACCUCUCGUCCUCCGUCACUCCAAGGAAUGGUUGCUGGGAGGUGCUGCGACCCAGGGGUUUGCUGGGCCCUGCCGUGGGCCCUGCCAGAGCUGCCUGUCGAUUAGAUGCCCUCUUGGGUGGGUGCAGAAACAUCUGGAGAGAAGAAGAAGCCCUGCCCAGUUCAUUAGUGAGGGCCACGGACUUAUCAAUCACCCAUCUGUUGACACUUUCUGGAGGUGCAAGACGCCAACUUCUGCAAAGAAGGGAUCCGUAUGCUCCACGACCGCUGGACUGUGUGUGUAAAUGUAGGGAAAAUAAAUGUGCUAGGUUUUCUAAAAUUGACUCCUUCUACCUUAGGCCACAAACUUAUCAAUCACUCCUCGUAGACAGCAUGCCUUCUUCCUCGUUUCCACCCCUAGCCUCUGAUACUGUAGUAAAGCAUUCUCUGUAAACUGCCAUGUUUAUGCCACGGACCCUGACCAUUACCCAAGAGUUUGGGAACCCCUGCUCCAGAGACUGUUGUGCGUGAAAAUCCCAGGACAUCGGCGGUUUCUGAGAUUUUUCCCGCGGGGUUUA